UAGGGAAUCUUCCGCAAUGGACGAAAGUCUGACGGAGCAACGCCGCGUGAGUGAUGAAGGUUUUCGGAUCGUAAAGCUCUGUUGCCAGGGAAGAACGUCCGGUAGAGUAACUGCUAKCGGAGUGACGGUACCUGAGAAGAAAGCCCCGGCUAACUACGUGCCAGCAGCCGCGGUAAUACGUAGGGGGCAAGCGUUGUCCGGAAUUAUUGGGCGUAAAGCGCGCGCAGGCGGUCAUUUAAGUCUGGUGUUUAAACCUUGGGCUCAACCUGAGGUCGCACUGGAAACUGGGUGACUUGAGUACAGAAGAGGAAAGUGGAAUUCCACGUGUAGCGGUGAAAUGCGUARAUAUGUGGAGGAACACCAGUGGCGAAGGCGACUUUCUGGGCUGUAACUGACGCUGAGGCGCGAAAGCGUGGGGAGCAAACAGGAUUAGAUACCCUGGUAGUCCACGCCGUAAACGAUGAGUGCUAGGUGUUAGGGGUUUCGAUACCCUUGGUGCCGAAGUUAACACAGUAAGCACUCCGCCUGGGGAGUACGGUCGCAAGACUG
Molecule: ribosomal RNA, 549 nt
Filed under: uncultured Bacillus sp.
Lineage: Bacteria; Bacillati; Bacillota; Bacilli; Caryophanales; Bacillaceae
Description: bacterial SSU rRNA
Rfam family: Bacterial small subunit ribosomal RNA
Source: RNAcentral